CAGAGUUUGAUCCUGGCUCAGACGAACGCUGGCGGCGUGCCUAAUACAUGCGCCGAGCGGACAGAAGGGAGUUGUUCCCGGAUGUUAGCGGCGGACGGGUGGAGUAACACGGGUAACCUGCCUGUAAGACUGAUAACUCCGGAAACCGGAGCUAAUACCGGAUAGCUCCCUUGAACCGCAUGGUUCAAGGAUGAAAGACGGUUUCGGCUGUCACUUACAGAUGCGACCCGCGGCGCAUUAGCCAGUUGGUGGGGUAAUGGCUCACCAGUGGACGAUGCGUAGCCGACCUGAGAGGGUGUGAUCGGCCACACUGACUGAGACACGGCCCAGACUCUACGGAGGCAGCAGUAGGGAAUCUUCCGCAAUGGACGAAAAAGUCUGACGGAGCAACGCUGCGUGAGUGAAGAAGGUUUUCGGAUUCCGUAAAACUCUGUUGUUAGGGGAAGAAACGCGCCGUUCAACAGGGCGGCACCUUGACGGUACCCAACCAGAAAGCUUCCCGGCUAACCACGCCAGCAGCCGCGGUAAUAAUGUAGGGGCAAGCGUUGUCCGGAAUUAUUAAGCGUACAGCGCGCGCAGGCGGCUCCUUUGCCUGAUAGAAAGCUCACGGCUUAACCGUGGAGGGCCAUUGGAAACUGGAGGACUUGAGUACAGAAGAGGAGAGUGGAAUUCCAAUGUAGCGGUGAAAUGUAGAGAUGUGGAGGAACACCAGUGGCGAAGGCGACUCUCUGGUCGUAACUGACGCUGAGGAGCGAAAGCGUGGGGAGCGAACAGGGAUUAGAUAUUCCUGGUAGUCCACGCCGUAAACGAUGAGUGCUAAGUGUUAGGAUUUCGCCCCCAGUGCUGUAGCUAACGCAUUAAGCACCUGCCUGGGGAGUACGGUCGCAAGACUGAAACUCAAAGGAAUUGAUUUGGGCCUGCACAAGCGGUGGAGCAUGUGGUUUAAUUCGAAGCAACGCGAAGAACUCCACAGGUCUUUACAUCUCUGACAACCCCAGAGAUAGCUUUUUCCCUUCGGGGACAGGAGUGGACAGGUGGUGCAUGGUUGUCGUCAGCUCGUGUCGUGAGAUGUUGGCUAAGUCCCGCAACGAGCGCAACCCUUGGAUCUUAGUUGCCAGCAUUUAGUUGGGCACUCUAAGGUGACUGCCGGUGACAAACCGGAGGAAGGCUGUGGGAUGACGCCAACCAUCAUGCCCUUAUGACCUUGGCUACACACGCUAAAUGGACAGAAUAAAAGGGCUGGUGAGACCGCAAAGGUUUAGCCAAUCCUUACAAUCUGUUCUCAGUUCGGAUCGCAGUCUGCAAACUCGACCGCGUGAAGCUGGAAUCGCUAGUAAUCGCGGAUCAGCAUGCCGUGGGUGAAUAUUGUUCCUGGCCUUACACACCGCCCGUCACACCACGAGAGUUUGCAACACCCGAAGUCGGUGAGGUAACCCUUUAUGGAGCCACAAGCCGCCGAAGGUGGGGGCAGAUGACGGGGUGAAGUCGUAACAAGGUAGCCGUAUCGGAGGGUGCGGCUGGAUCACCAGGUUAAACACCCGCCAGGACGCCGAAGAUAGAUGACAGGCGGGCAUAAUCGCCGUCGAGUAUGGAAGUCG
Molecule: ribosomal RNA, 1598 nt
Filed under: Bacillus altitudinis
Lineage: Bacteria; Bacillati; Bacillota; Bacilli; Caryophanales; Bacillaceae
Description: partial 16S ribosomal RNA
Rfam family: Bacterial small subunit ribosomal RNA
Source: RNAcentral